Molecule: transfer RNA, 75 nt
Filed under: Microcoleus sp. FACHB-68
Lineage: Bacteria; Bacillati; Cyanobacteriota; Cyanophyceae; Oscillatoriales; Microcoleaceae
Rfam family: tRNA
About the family: Transfer RNA (tRNA) molecules are approximately 80 nucleotides in length. Their secondary structure includes four short double-helical elements and three loops (D, anti-codon, and T loops). Further hydrogen bonds mediate the characteristic L-shaped molecular structure. tRNAs have two regions of fundamental functional importance: the anti-codon, which is responsible for specific mRNA codon recognition, and the 3' end, to which the tRNAs corresponding amino acid is attached (by aminoacyl-tRNA synthetases). tRNAs cope with the degeneracy of the genetic code in two manners: having more than one tRNA (with a specific anti-codon) for a particular amino acid; and 'wobble' base-pairing, i.e. permitting non-standard base-pairing at the 3rd anti-codon position.
Source: Rfam by way of RNAcentral
AGUCCCGUAGGCGAAUUCGUUUAAGCCGUCACCCUCUCAAGGUGAAGAUUGCGAGUGCAAAUCUCGUCGGGACUU